RNAcentral lists this ribosomal RNA (490 nucleotides) under uncultured bacterium. RNAcentral describes it as "partial 16S ribosomal RNA". It matches the Rfam family "Bacterial small subunit ribosomal RNA", at positions 30 to 507 of the family's 1533-position model. The record is from RNAcentral.
AUUGAACGCUGGCGGCAGGCCUAACACAUGCAAGUCGAACGGUAACAGGAAGACGCUUGCUUCUUUGCUGACGAGUGGCGGACGGGUGAGUAAUGUCUGUGAAACUGCCUGAUGGAGGGGGAUAACUACUGGAAACGGUAGCUAAUACCGCAUAACGUCGCAAGACCAAAAAGGGAGACCUUCUGGCCUCUUGCCGUCGGAUGUGCCCAGAUGGGCUUAGCUAGCAGGCGGGGGCACGGCUUACCGAGGCGACGAUCCCUAGCUGCUCUGAGCGGAGGACCCGCUACCCUGUAUGUGAGACACGGCACACACUCCUACGCGAGGCCGCAGUCGGGAAUAUUGCGCGAUGCGGGAGAGGCUAAUGCAGCCAAGCCGCGUGUAGGAAGAAGGACUUCGGGUGGUAAAGUGCUUUCAGCGGGGAGGUUGGAAGUAAAGUUAAUCCCGGUGCUCAUUGACGUUACCCGCAGAAGAAGCACCGGCUAACUCCGUG